This 1145-nucleotide ribosomal RNA is filed under the name Triticum aestivum (bread wheat). Its description in RNAcentral is "partial small subunit ribosomal RNA". The record is from RNAcentral. Lineage: Eukaryota; Viridiplantae; Streptophyta; Magnoliopsida; Poales; Poaceae.
CAAACCGUGGCCACAUCUCCAACCAGCCGCCCCCUUCUCCUUGCCCCUCACUUCCUCCUCUCUCACGCCCAAGAGCUCCACCCCCUCCCAUGGUGUCUCCUCCCUGCCCUCCCCUCUCCUCCCUAGGCCCUCCAAGCUGCACCAUAUCCUGCACCACCUCGAGGGAAGCCCUCUAAUCUGGUUGUGAGGAAGGAUAAGAGGAGGAACAGGAAGACCAAGAGGAGAAGAACAAGAGGAGGAGGAGAAGAAGAGGUUGCAAGAGAAAAACAAGGGAGGAGGAGGCCUCCCCAACACUCCCCUCACCAAACGCCUCCAAUCCCACCACCAAGUUGAGGUCCUCGCUCUUCUUACCUGCACCAUAGCUCUGUUUUGGUGAAGGAUUCCGGGUGGUUAAGAAAGGGAGUAGCAGAUACAGGAUGGAUUGAAGCAAAAUUGGUUAUUGUUGCUGUUUCUGCGCGUCCAGAUUCAGAAAUCAGCUAUUUCGAGUUCCUAGAUGGAAAAAUCAGAGGAGGAGCAUGUGGAAUGUUUUGUAGGUGUUGUUCCCAUGAUCCUUUUGAGUGGUCAUUCAUUCAAUUCGGUUCAGCCGUUUAGCCUUGGCGAUAAAAACAAGUUGCUGCGCUGUUUCUGCAAAGCAGUAAUUUUCAUAGCUUUUGUUCAUAGUUUUUCAUGAUAUUGAAGGGUUGAUAAAUUGGUGUUAUACAAUGGUAUGGCUACGUGGUACCUUGUAGUUCAUAGGUCAAUUCCAUUUACUUGAUUCCCAUGGGUAUUUUUGUUACUAUGAACUUCCAAGGAUGGCUAUUCAAUAUUUCUGAAUCUGAGUACAGCAGAGCAGUAUUUGCUGGUUUUGAUCUCCAUAAGUUCAUAUUUUGAGGUUGAAUAGUUGGAGUUAUUUGUAAACAAGUUCCUUACGAAUCUGUAGCCAUCUUGUUUGUUUAUUUUUGAUCUUCCUAACUCAAGAUAUGAUUUUUUCCGUGAAUGGACAACAAAGGGUUGCUUCCCGGGAAUGCGAUUAGGCGCAUCAUUGUGUGUGCUUUACAUAGUGUUGAGUAUAAUGUUUAUUAGGAAAGAUGAGAUAGAUUAGGAUUUGUUCUGGCUUAUCUUGUACUCCAAGUAAAUGAUUGUACUCUUAUAUAUAUACCCACUAG